CCUACGGGAGGCUGCAGUGAGCAAUAUUGGUCAAUGGACGCAAGUCUGAACCAGCCAUGCCGCGUGCAGGAAGACGGCUCUAUGAGUUGUAAACUGCUUUUGUACGAGGGUAAACGCAGAUACGCGUAUCUGUCUGAAAGUAUCGUACGAAUAAGGAUCGGCUAACUCCGUGCCAGCAGCCGGGGUAAUACGGAGGAUUCAAGCGUUAUCCGGAUUUAUUGGGUUUAAAGGGUGCGUAGGCGGUCGGAUAAGUUAGAGGUGAAAUCCCGAGGCUCAACUUCGGAAUUGCCUCUGAUACUGUUCGGCGAGAGAGUAGUUGCGGUAGGCGGAAUGUAUGGUGUAGCGGUGAAAUGCUUAGAGAUCAUACAGAACACCGAUUGCGAAGGCAGCUUACCAAGCUACUUCUGACGUUGAGGCACGAAAGCGUGGGGAGCAAACAGGAUUAGAUACCCCAGUAGUC
RNAcentral lists this ribosomal RNA (460 nucleotides) under uncultured bacterium. RNAcentral's name for it is "partial 16S ribosomal RNA". It matches the Rfam family "Bacterial small subunit ribosomal RNA", at positions 338 to 795 of the family's 1533-position model. The record is from RNAcentral.